UUAUACGAUUUUAUCGGGUGGGUCUACGUUAUUUCUGUGGAAUUUAAGAGCAACAUUAUCAAGACUCCUCCUCUGGACCGCCCAACUCAUUAAAAAAAAAAAACAACUUUGCGAUUUUCAUUAAAAUUCCUUCUUUGAUUAAUUUCUUAACAAGAAGAAAAGGACAAAAGGGUCCAGGGAGGUGAGAGGGUACCUGCUGGAGAGAGGUGGUGGGUAGCUGGAAGCGGCUGGCUAGGAGGCGGGGCGUGGGGCGUGGGGCGGUGGAACUCCUGUGCUGCGGCAUUCACGUGAUCCGCCCGGGCGCAGAUGUGGGCACCGGUCCGAGUGCCCGCCCUCUGUCCCCGCGGCUGGGUCCCGUCUGCUCCAGUUCCUGGGCUCCUAAUUCUUGGUCCAGCUUCCUCCAGGUCUGCGCGUCUGUUGUUCCCAGCGCUCUGCGAAGCCUGAAAAAGAGGAGCAACCUGUCCAGAAUCCCCGCAGGGCACGA
RNAcentral lists this long non-coding RNA (484 nucleotides) under Theropithecus gelada (gelada). RNAcentral describes it as "lncRNA (ENSTGEG00000013055.1)". The record is from RNAcentral. Lineage: Eukaryota; Metazoa; Chordata; Mammalia; Primates; Cercopithecidae.